CCCUUAGAUGUCCUGGGCAGCACGCGUGCUACAAUGAUGCAUUCAACGGGUCUUGCCUUAACCGAAAGGUUCGGGUAAACUUUUGAAAUUGCAUCUUGUCGGGGCUUGAUCAUUGUAAUUUUUGAUCACAAACAAGGAAUUCCUUGUAAAUGUGAGUCAUCAACUUGCAUUGAAUACGUCCCUGCCCUUUGUACACACCGCCCGUCGCUUCUACCGAUGAAUGAUCCGGUGAACACUCUGGACUUGUUGUCUGUCGGAGCAAUCCAAAGACGAUAGGGAAGUUGUGUAAACCUUAUCAUUUAGAGGAAGAAGAAGUCGUAACA
Molecule: ribosomal RNA, 323 nt
Filed under: uncultured eukaryote
Lineage: Eukaryota
Description: partial 18S ribosomal RNA
Rfam family: Eukaryotic small subunit ribosomal RNA
Source: RNAcentral